UCACCAAAGGUAUGUCUUUACAAAACCAUAGUUCAGCUAUACACAGCUGACUAUCAUCUAUGAUAAAACUAGCUAGCAUCUACAUUACUAUACCUAUGUUUCUAAUUACAGGAGAUAAUGCAGUAGGUGUACAUUAACUUUAGGGGACUCUUAACAUGACAUGUAUAAGCAAUGCUUCUAAGUAGAUGUCCACUGGAACAUGAAGUGUGAUUGAACAAUCUGGAGUUUCUUUCUAACCAAAUACUGUAAAGCAUUUCAGCAAAGACCAUUUUCAUCAUUUGAGCUCGACCAGAUUUCCGUUUAGACUUGGUUAUGAUCCACUGAAUGUAUUGUUCUCAAUUCUGGUAAUUGUCUUGAGUUACUCCAGUCCAUUGUAAAGUGUGAUGUCUCAGCAAGGAGGUGAAUGAACAUGAGAAGAACAGAUGAUCCCUAGUCNNN
This 438-nucleotide long non-coding RNA is filed under the name Nicotiana benthamiana. RNAcentral's name for it is "long non-coding RNA (NBEN_LNC029398)". The record is from RNAcentral. Lineage: Eukaryota; Viridiplantae; Streptophyta; Magnoliopsida; Solanales; Solanaceae.